RNAcentral lists this unclassified non-coding RNA (271 nucleotides) under uncultured fungus. Its description in RNAcentral is "partial contains small subunit ribosomal RNA, internal transcribed spacer 1, and 5.8S ribosomal RNA". The stretch from base 1 to 73 matches the Rfam family "Eukaryotic small subunit ribosomal RNA", at positions 1759 to 1831 of the family's 1831-position model. Lineage: Eukaryota; Fungi. The record is from RNAcentral.
UCAAACUUGGUCAUUUAGAGGAAGUAAAAGUCGUAACAAGGUCUCCGUUGGUGAACCAGCGGAGGGAUCAUUAUCAGAGUUUCGACUCUCAAACCACUGUGCAUCAAUACUAUUUCUGCUGAGGCGGGCCGCUCGCUCGGGGAGCUUCGGCCUGUAUAGGUGGUCCGCCGAAGCAACUUUCAAGCUCUUUCAAACCGUAAGAGAAAACUUUCAAAGAAUCACAACUCAUAACAAUGGAUCUCUUGGCUCUGGCAUCGAUGAAGAACGCAGC